RNAcentral lists this long non-coding RNA (224 nucleotides) under Elaeis guineensis (African oil palm). RNAcentral's name for it is "long non-coding RNA (EGUI_LNC033794)". The record is from RNAcentral. Lineage: Eukaryota; Viridiplantae; Streptophyta; Magnoliopsida; Arecales; Arecaceae.
UGCUUGCAUAGGUCUGCCAAACUAUGCUCUUCAUCAUUGGAGGGAUCUUAUCAUUGAGAUUGGUAGAUGCUGGAUUAGGAGGUCUAGCGGAAGCUGAAGCCAAUGAAGUAGGAUCACUUUACUGUGGUUCCUUAUGUCUCCACCCAGUCCUCGAAGCCUCCAUGUCGGUAAGUACUCGAUCGUAAUUUGAGGAGGAGAUGUUGGAUUGGAUGGUGGAUAACCUC